AGAGCUGGGCGGCAUGCUUUACACAUGCAAGUCGAACGGCAGCGCGGACUUCGGUUUGGCGGCGAGUGGCGAACGGGUGAGUAAUACAUCGGAACGUACCCAGAAGUGGGGGGUAACGCAGCGAAAGUUGCGCUAAUACCGCAUACGUUCUACGGAAGAAAGUGGGGGAUCUUCGGACCUCAUGCUUUUGGAGCGGCCGAUGUCUGAUUAGCUAGUUGGUAGGGUAAAGGCCUACCAAGGCGACGAUCAGUAGCUGGUCUGAGAGGACGACCAGCCACACUGGAACUGGGACACGGUCUAGACUCCUACGGGAGGCAGCAGUGGGGAAUUUUGGACAAUGGGCGCAAGCCUGAUCCAGCAAUGCCGCGUGAGUGAAGAAGGCCUUCGGGUUGUAAAGCUCUUUUGUCAGGGAAGAAACGGUUCCGGCUAAUAUCUGGGGCUAAUGACGGUACCUGAAGAAUAAGCACCGGCUAACUACGUGCCAGCAGCCGCGGUAAUACGUAGGGUGCAAGCGUUAAUCGGAAUUACUGGGCGUAAAGCGUGCGCAGGCGGUUUUGUAAGUCUGUCGUGAAAGCCCCGGGCUCAACCUGGGAAUUGCGAUGGAGACUGCAAGGCUUGAAUCUGGCAGAGGGGGGUAGAAUUCCACGUGUAGCAGUGAAAUGCGUAGAGAUGUGGAGGAACACCGAUGGCGAAGGCAGCCCCCUGGGUCAAGAUUGACGCUCAUGCACGAAAGCGUGGGGAGCAAACAGGAUUAGAUACCCUGGUAGUCCACGCCCUAAACGAUGUCUACUAGUUGUCGGGUUUUAAUUAACUUGGUAACGCAGCUAACGCGUGAAGUAGACCGCCUGGGGAGUACGGUCGCAAGAUUAAAACUCAAAGGAAUUGACGGAAGGGCG
RNAcentral lists this ribosomal RNA (896 nucleotides) under uncultured Massilia sp. RNAcentral's name for it is "bacterial SSU rRNA". It matches the Rfam family "Bacterial small subunit ribosomal RNA", at positions 32 to 923 of the family's 1533-position model. The record is from RNAcentral. Lineage: Bacteria; Pseudomonadati; Pseudomonadota; Betaproteobacteria; Burkholderiales; Oxalobacteraceae.